GACGAACGCUGGCGGCGUGCCUAAUACAUGCAAGUUGAGCGCUGAAGGUUGGUACUUGUACCAACUGGAUGAGCAGCGAACGGGUGAGUAACGCGUGGGGAAUCUGCCUUUGAGCGGGGGACAACAUUUGGAAACGAAUGCUAAUACCGCAUAAAAACUUUAAACACAAGUUUUAAGUUUGAAAGAUGCAAUUGCAUCACUCAAAGAUGAUCCCGCGUUGUAUUAGCUAGUUGGUGAGGUAAAGACUCACCAAGGCGAUGAUACAUAGCCGACCUGAGAGGGUGAUCGGCCACAUUGGGACUGAGACACGGCCCAAACUCCUACGGGAGGCAGCAGUAGGGAAGCUUCGGCAAUGGACGAAAGUCUGACCGAGCAACGCCGCGUGAGUGAAGAAGGUUUUCGGAUCGUAAAACUCUGUUGGUAGAGAAGAACGUUGGUGAGAGUGGAAAGCUCAUCAAGUGACGGUAACUACCCAGAAAGGGACGGCUAACUACGUG
This 497-nucleotide ribosomal RNA is filed under the name uncultured bacterium. RNAcentral's name for it is "partial 16S ribosomal RNA". It matches the Rfam family "Bacterial small subunit ribosomal RNA", at positions 28 to 507 of the family's 1533-position model. The record is from RNAcentral.